This 77-nucleotide small RNA is filed under the name Novosphingobium sp. PhB55. RNAcentral's name for it is "suhB". It matches the Rfam family "Makes More Granules Regulator RNA (mmgR)". From Rfam's summary of the family: SuhB later renamed mmgR (makes more granules regulator) was a putative non-coding RNA found multiple times in the Agrobacterium tumefaciens genome and related alpha-proteobacteria. Other non-coding RNAs uncovered in the same analysis include: speF, ybhL, metA, and serC. Several studies inSinorhizobium meliloti showed that suhB element is indeed a non-coding RNA:firstly it was detected on Northern blot and called Sm8RNA, secondly in an RNAseq study referred to as SmelC689. RNAcentral also lists the same sequence under 1 other name. The record is from RNAcentral. Lineage: Bacteria; Pseudomonadati; Pseudomonadota; Alphaproteobacteria; Sphingomonadales; Sphingomonadaceae.
AGAGCGGGCCUUUCAGGCAUCCUCUCCCAAAGACUUUCCAAGCCGGCCCUUGUGGCCGGCUUUCUUUUUGCCUCCUG